Molecule: ribosomal RNA, 440 nt
Filed under: uncultured bacterium
Lineage: Bacteria
Description: partial 16S ribosomal RNA
Rfam family: Bacterial small subunit ribosomal RNA
Source: RNAcentral
CCUACGGGGUGCAGCAGUGGGGGAUAUUGCACAAUGGGGGAAACCCUGAUGCAGCGACGCCGCGUGUGGGAAGACGGUCUUCUGGAUUGUAAACCACUGUCCCCAGGGACGAAAAUGACGGUACCUGGGGAGGAAGCUCCGGCUAACUACGUGCCAGCAGCCGCGGUAAUACGUAGGGAGCAAGCGUUGUCCGGAAUUACUGGGUGUAAAGGGAGCGUAGGCGGGGAUGCAAGUUUGGUGUCAAAACUACCGGCUCAACCGAUAGUCGCACUCAAAACUGCAGCUCUUGAGUGAAGUAGAGGCAGGCGGAAGUCCUAGUGUAGCGGUGAAAUGCGUAGAUACUAGGAGGAACACCAGUGGCGAAGGCGGCCUGCUGGGCUUUUACUGACGCUGAGGCUCGAAAGUGUGGGGAGCAAACAGGAUUAGAUACCCUAGUAGUC